ACGAACGCUGGCGGCGUGCUUAACACAUGCAAGUCGAGCGGUAAGGCCCUUCGGGGUACACGAGCGGCGAACGGGUGAGUAACACGUGGGUGAUCUGCCCUGCACUCUGGGAUAAGCUUGGGAAACUGGGUCUAAUACCGGAUAUGACCACAUGCCGCAUGGUGUGUGGUGGAAAGAUUUAUCGGUGCAGGAUGGGCCCGCGGCCUAUCAGCUUGUUGGUGGGGUAAUGGCCUACCAAGGCGACGACGGGUAGCCGACCUGAGAGGGUGACCGGCCACACUGGGACUGAGACACGGCCCAGACUCCUACGGGAGGCAGCAGUGGGGAAUAUUGCACAAUGGGCGGAAGCCUGAUGCAGCGACGCCGCGUGAGGGAUGAAGGCCUUCGGGUUGUAAACCUCUUUCAGCAGGGACGAAGCGUGAGUGACGGUACCUGCAGAAGAAGCACCGGCUAACUACGUGCCAGCMGCCGCGGUAA
Molecule: ribosomal RNA, 477 nt
Filed under: Rhodococcus sp. Fp2
Lineage: Bacteria; Bacillati; Actinomycetota; Actinomycetes; Mycobacteriales; Nocardiaceae
Description: bacterial SSU rRNA
Rfam family: Bacterial small subunit ribosomal RNA
Source: RNAcentral